UAGGAUGUGGCUCAGCUGCUAGAGUACUUGCCUCAUGAGCAUCAAAUCCUGGGUUCAAUUCCCAGCACCCCAU
RNAcentral lists this transfer RNA (73 nucleotides) under Mesocricetus auratus (golden hamster). It matches the Rfam family "tRNA". From Rfam's summary of the family: Transfer RNA (tRNA) molecules are approximately 80 nucleotides in length. Lineage: Eukaryota; Metazoa; Chordata; Mammalia; Rodentia; Cricetidae. The record is from Rfam by way of RNAcentral.